UGGCGGCGUGCCUAAUACAUGCAAGUCGAGCGAACAGAUGAGAAGCUUGCUUCUCUGAUGUUAGCGGCGGACGGGUGAGUAACACGUGGGUAACCUACCUAUAAGACUGGGAUAACUCCGGGAAACCGGGGCUAAUACCGGAUAAUAUUUUGAACCGCAUGGUUCAAUAGUGAAAGACGGUUUCGGCUGUCACUUAUAGAUGGACCCGCGCCGUAUUAGCUAGUUGGUAAGGUAACGGCUUACCAAGGCGACGAUACGUAGCCGACCUGAGAGGGUGAUCGGCCACACUGGAACUGAGACACGGUCCAGACUCCUACGGGAGGCAGCAGUAGGGAAUCUUCCGCAAUGGGCGAAAGCCUGACGGAGCAACGCCGCGUGAGUGAUGAAGGUCUUCGGAUCGUAAAACUCUGUUGUUAGGGAAGAACAAAUUUGUUAGUAACUGAACAAGUCUUGACGGUACCUAACCAGAAAGCCACGGCUAACUACGUGCCAGCAGCCGCGGUAAUACGUAGGUGGCAAGCGUUAUCCGGAAUUAUUGGGCGUAAAGCGCGCGUAGGCGGUUUCUUAAGUCUGAUGUGAAAGCCCACGGCUCAACCGUGGAGGGUCAUUGGAAACUGGGAAACUUGAGUGCAGAAGAGGAGAGUGGAAUUCCAUGUGUAGCGGUGAAAUGCGCAGAGAUAUGGAGGAACACCAGUGGCGAAGGCGGCUCUCUGGUCUGUAACUGACGCUGAUGUGCGAAAGCGUGGGGAUCAAACAGGAUUAGAUACCCUGGUAGUCCACGCCGUAAACGAUGAGUGCUAAGUGUUAGGGGGUUUCCGCCCCUUAGUGCUGCAGCUAACGCAUUAAGCACUCCGCCUGGGGAGUACGACCGCAAGGUUGAAACUCAAAGGAAUUGACGGGGACCCGCACAAGCGGUGGAGCAUGUGGUUUAAUUCGAAGCAACGCGAAGAACCUUACCAAAUCUUGACAUCCUUUGACCGCUCUAGAGAUAGAGUCUUCCCCUUCGGGGGACAAAGUGACAGGUGGUGCAUGGUUGUCGUCAGCUCGUGUCGUGAAGAUGUUGGGUUAAGUCCCGCAACGAGCGCAACCCUUAAGCUUAGUUGCCAUCAUUAAGUUGGGCACUCUAGGUUGACUGCCGGUGACAAACCGGAGGAAGGUGGGGAUGACGUCAAAUCAUCAUGCCCCUUAUGAUUUGGGCUACACACGUGCUACAAUGGAUAAUACAAAGGGCAGCGAAUCCGCGAGGCCAAGCAAAUCCCAUAAAAUUAUUCUCAGUUCGGAUUGUAGUCUGCAACUCGACUACAUGAAGCUGGAAUCGCUAGUAAUCGUAGAUCAGCAUGCUACGGUGAAUACGUUCCCGGGUCUUGUACACACCGCCCGUCACACCACGAGAGUUUGUAACACCCGAAGCCGGUGGAGUAACCUUUUAGGAGCUAGCCGUCGAAGGUGGGACAAAUGAU
This 1460-nucleotide ribosomal RNA is filed under the name Mammaliicoccus sciuri. RNAcentral's name for it is "bacterial SSU rRNA". It matches the Rfam family "Bacterial small subunit ribosomal RNA". The record is from RNAcentral. Lineage: Bacteria; Bacillati; Bacillota; Bacilli; Caryophanales; Staphylococcaceae.